UACGUAGGGGGCGAGCGUUGUCCGGAUUUAUUGGGCGUAAAGAGCUCGUAGGCGGUUUGGUAAGUUGGAUGUGAAAUCUCCAGGCUCAACUUGGAGGGGUCAUUCGAUACUGCCAUGACUAGAAUUCGGUAGGGGAGUGUGGAAUUCCUGGUGGAGCGGUGAAAUGCGCAGAUAUCAGGAGGAACACCCGUAGCGAAGGCGGCACUCUGGGCCGGAACUGACGCUGAGGAGCGAAAGCGUGGGGAGCGAACAGG
This 254-nucleotide ribosomal RNA is filed under the name uncultured bacterium. Its description in RNAcentral is "partial 16S ribosomal RNA". It matches the Rfam family "Bacterial small subunit ribosomal RNA", at positions 524 to 776 of the family's 1533-position model. The record is from RNAcentral.